AAAAGGUCUCUGCCUGCACCUGAAGGGUACUCUCCUCCGCAGGUCAACGCCCACUUUCACCAUUACAUACCAAGGAAAGACUUUCCACCACCAGAAGGCUGGAAUUAAUCCCGUCUCACACCAUCACUUCUGGAAAAGAACAUCGUAUAGUUAGCAAAAGUGCAUUUCUUAGUGCUUGAUUAACAAUAUAUAUAUAUAUAUAUAUAUAUAUAUAUAUAUAUAUAUAUAUAUAUAUAUAUAUAUGUACUCCUCUUCUGUCGAUCAUCUUUUUCUCUUUCUCUUUCUCUAAUCUGUCUAACUGUAGUGUUGUUUAAUGGUCUUUCUAUGGUAUAUGUGC
RNAcentral lists this long non-coding RNA (337 nucleotides) under Ricinus communis (castor bean). RNAcentral describes it as "long non-coding RNA (RCOM_LNC003070)". The record is from RNAcentral. Lineage: Eukaryota; Viridiplantae; Streptophyta; Magnoliopsida; Malpighiales; Euphorbiaceae.